GCUGACGAGUGGCGGACGGGUGAGUAAUGCUUGGGAACUUGCCUUUAGGUGGGGGAUAACAGUUGGAAACGACUGCUAAUACCGCAUAAUGUCUACGGACCAAAGGGGGCUUCGGCUCCCGCCUUGAGAGAGGCCCAAGUGAGAUUAGCUAGUUGGUGGGGUAAAGGCCUACCAAGGCAACGAUCUCUAGCUGUUCUGAGAGGAAGAUCAGCCACACUGGGACUGAGACACGGCCCAGACUCCUACGGGAGGCAGCAGUGGGGAAUAUUGCACAAUGGGGGAAACCCUGAUGCAGCCAUGCCGCGUGUGUGAAGAAGGCCUUCGGGUUGUAAAGCACUUUCAGUUGUGAGGAAAGGUUGGUAGUUAAUACCUGCCAGCUGUGACGUUAACAACAGAAGAAGCACCGGCUAACUCCGUGCCAGCAGCCGCGGUAAUACGGAGGGUGCGAGCGUUAAUCGGAAUUACUGGGCGUAAAGCGCACGCAGGCGGCUUGUUAAGCUAGAGGUGAAAGCCCCGCGCUCAACGUGGGAACUGCCUUUAGAACUGGCAGGCUAGAGUCUUGGAGAGGGGAGUGGAAUUCCAGGUGUAGCGGUGAAAUGCGUAGAUAUCUGGAGGAACAUCAGUGGCGAAGGCGGCUCCCUGGCCAAAGACUGACGCUCAUGUGCGAAAGUGUGGGUAGCGAACAGGAUUAGAUACCCUGGUAGUCCACACCGUAAACGCUGUCUACUAGCUGUUUGUGUAUUUAAUACGUGAGUAGCGAAGCUAACGCGCUAAGUAGACCGCCUGGGGAGUACGGCCGCAAGGUUAAAACUCAAAUGAAUUGACGGGGGCCCGCACAAGCGGUGGAGCAUGUGGUUU
RNAcentral lists this ribosomal RNA (858 nucleotides) under Alteromonadaceae bacterium GUDS1349. Its description in RNAcentral is "bacterial SSU rRNA". It matches the Rfam family "Bacterial small subunit ribosomal RNA", at positions 87 to 947 of the family's 1533-position model. Lineage: Bacteria; Pseudomonadati; Pseudomonadota; Gammaproteobacteria; Alteromonadales; Alteromonadaceae. The record is from RNAcentral.